UAGGGAAUCUUCCGCAAUGGGCGAAAGCCUGACGGAGCAACGCCGCGUGAGUGAUGAAGGUCUUCGGAUCGUAAAACUCUGUUCUUAGGGAAGAACAAAUGUGUAAGUAACUAUGCACGUCUUGACGGUACCUAAUCAGAAAGCCACGGCUAACUACGUGCCAGCAGCCGCGGUUAUACGUAGGUGGCAAGCGUUAUCCGGCAUUAUUGGGCGUAAAGCUCGCGUAGGCGGUUUUUUAAGUCCGAUGUGAAAUCCCACGGCUCAACCGGGGAGGGUCAUUGGAAACUGGAAAACUUGAGUGCAGAAGAGGAAAGUGGAAUUCAAUGUGUAGCGGUAAAAUGCGCAGAUAUAUGGAGGAACCCCAGUGGCGAAGGCGACUUUCUGGUCUGUAACUGACGCUGAUGUGCGAAAGCGUGGGGAUCAAACAGG
Molecule: ribosomal RNA, 429 nt
Filed under: Actinomycetes bacterium
Lineage: Bacteria; Bacillati; Actinomycetota; Actinomycetes
Description: Actinobacteria bacterium partial 16S ribosomal RNA
Rfam family: Bacterial small subunit ribosomal RNA
Source: RNAcentral